RNAcentral lists this ribosomal RNA (750 nucleotides) under uncultured bacterium. RNAcentral's name for it is "bacterial SSU rRNA". It matches the Rfam family "Bacterial small subunit ribosomal RNA", at positions 43 to 782 of the family's 1533-position model. The record is from RNAcentral.
CAGGCCUAACACAUGCAAGUCGAACGGUAGCAGGAGAAAGCUUGCUUUCUUGCUGACGAGUGGCGGACGGGUGAGUAAUGCUUGGGAAUCUGGCUUAUGGAGGGGGAUAACUACGGGAAACUGUAGCUAAUACCGCGUAGAAUCGGAAGCUGAAAGUGCGGGACCGCAAGGCCGCAUGCCAUGAGAUGAGCCCAAGUGGGAUUAGGUAGUUGGUGGGGUAAAGGCCUACCAAGCCUGCGAUCUCUAGCUGGUCUGAGAGGAUGGCCAGCCACACUGGAACUGAGACACGGUCCAGACUCCUACGGGAGGCAGCAGUGGGGAAUAUUGCGCAAUGGGGGGAACCCUGACGCAGCCAUGCCGCGUGAAUGAAGAAGGCCUUCGGGUUGUAAAGUUCUUUCGGUAUUGAGGAAGGUUGAUGUGAUAAUAGUACAUCAAAUUGACGUUAAAUACAGAAGAAGCACCGGCUAACUCCGUGCCAGCAGCCGCGGUAAUACGGAGGGUGCGAGCGUUAAUCGGAAUAACUGGGCGUAAAGGGCACGCAGGCGGUUAUUUAAGUGAGGUGUGAAAGCCCCGGGCUUAACCUGGGAAUUGCAUUUCAGACUGGGUAACUAGAGUACUUUAGGGAGGGGUAGAAUUCCACGUGUAGCGGUGAAAUGCGUAGAGAUGUGGAGGAAUACCGAAGGCGAAGGCAGCCCCUUGGGAAUGUACUGACGCUCAUGUGCGAAAGCGUGGGGAGCAAACAGGAUUAGA